UACGUAGGGUGCAAGCGUUAAUCGGAAUUACUGGGCGUAAAGCGUGCGCAGGCGGUUUUGUAAGUCAGAUGUGAAAUCCCCGGGCUUAACCUGGGAACUGCGUUUGAAACUACAAGGCUAGAGUGUGACAGAGGGGGGUGGAAUUCCACGUGUAGCAGUGAAAUGCGUAGAGAUAUGGAGGAACACCGAUGGCGAAGGCAAUCCCCUGGACCUGUACUGACGCUCAUGCACGAAAGCGUGGGGAGCAAACAGG
This 253-nucleotide ribosomal RNA is filed under the name uncultured bacterium. Its description in RNAcentral is "partial 16S ribosomal RNA". It matches the Rfam family "Bacterial small subunit ribosomal RNA", at positions 524 to 776 of the family's 1533-position model. The record is from RNAcentral.